This 278-nucleotide ribosomal RNA is filed under the name uncultured bacterium. RNAcentral describes it as "partial 16S ribosomal RNA". It matches the Rfam family "Bacterial small subunit ribosomal RNA", at positions 355 to 625 of the family's 1533-position model. The record is from RNAcentral.
UAGGGAAUCUUCCACAAUGGACGCAAGUCUGAUGGAGCAACGCCGCGUGAGUGAAGAAGGCUUUCGGGUCGUGAAACUCUGUUAUUGAAGAAGAACGUGUGUGACAGUAACUGGUCAUGCAGUGACGGUAUUCAAUCAGAAAGUCACGGCUAACUACGUGCCAGCAGCCGCGGUAAUACGUAGGUGGCAAGCGUUGUCCGGAUUUAUUGGGCGUAAAGCGAGUGCAGGCGGUCUUUUAAGUCUGAUGUGAAAGCCUUCGGCUUAACCGAAGAAGGGCA